UGGGGAAUAUUGGACAAUGGAGGAAACUCUGAUCCAGCAAUUCUGUGUGUGUGAAGAAGGUUUUAGGACUGUAAAACACUUUUAGUAGGGAAGAAAAAAAUGACGGUACCUACAGAAGAAGCAACGGCUAAAUACGUGCCAGCAGCCGCGGUAAUACGUAUGUUGCGAGCGUUAUCCGGAAUUAUUGGGCUUAAAGGGCAUCUAGGCGGUAAGACAAGUUGAAGGUGAAAACCUGUGGCUCAACCAUAGUCUUGCCGUUGAUACUGGUUAGCUUGAGUGUAGAUGAUGUAGGCGGAACGUGUAGUGUAGCGGUGAAAUGCAUAGAUAUUACGCAGAACUCCGAUUGCGAAGGCAGCUUACAAAACUACUACUGACACUGAGGCACGAAAGCGUGGGUAUCAAACAGG
This 407-nucleotide ribosomal RNA is filed under the name Verrucomicrobiota bacterium. RNAcentral describes it as "Verrucomicrobia bacterium partial 16S ribosomal RNA". It matches the Rfam family "Bacterial small subunit ribosomal RNA", at positions 355 to 776 of the family's 1533-position model. The record is from RNAcentral. Lineage: Bacteria; Pseudomonadati; Verrucomicrobiota.